RNAcentral lists this ribosomal RNA (453 nucleotides) under uncultured bacterium. Its description in RNAcentral is "bacterial SSU rRNA". It matches the Rfam family "Bacterial small subunit ribosomal RNA", at positions 340 to 786 of the family's 1533-position model. The record is from RNAcentral.
UACGGGAGGCAGCAGUGGGGAAUAUUGCACAAUGGGCGCAAGCCUGAUGCAGCCAUGCCGCGUGUAUGAAGAAGGCCUUCGGGUUGUAAAGUACUUUCAGUCGUGAGGAAGGUGUUAAGGUUAAUAACCUUAGCAAUUGACGUUAGCGACAGAAGAAGCACCGGCUAACUCCGUGCCAGCAGCCGCGGUAAUACGGAGGGUGCGAGCGUUAAUCGGAAUUACUGGGCGUAAAGGGCACGCAGGCGGUUAAUUAAGUUGGAUGUGAAUCCCCGGGCUUAACCUGGGAAUGGCAUUCAAGACUGGUUAGCUAGAGUCUUGUAGAGGGGGUAGAAUUCCAUGUGUAGCGGUGAAAUGCGUAGAGAUGUGGAGGAAUACCGGUGGCGAAGGCGGCCCCUGGACAAAGGACUGACGCUUAUGUGCGAAAGCGUGGGGAGCAAACAGGGAUUAGAUACC